AAACUUGAGGUUGUCUAUGAAGGCACGAACCAAGUGAAAGAAUCUAAAAUAAGUAGGUACACUCGACAAUAUGAAUUGUUCCAAAUGGAACAAAAUGAAAAUGUGUACUCUAUGUAUACUAGAUUCACGGACAUAGUGAACACUCUAGGAGCCCUAGGAAAGACUUUUUCAAAUAGCGAAAAAGUCAAGAAAAUCAUUAGGUCUCUACCUAAGGAAUGGAGACCAAAAAGGACUGCCAUUGAGGAAGCCAAGGAUUUAAAUGUGUUACCUAUUGAUGAUUUAAUUGGCUCUCUUAUUUCAUAUGAAGAAGAUUUGGCAGCUGAAAAAGGGCAUGAGGAAAAGAAGAAGAACAUUGCUCUCAAGGCUUCAAAACGUGAGAGUGAUGAGGAAAGCGAAAUGGAUGAUGAGGAGUUGGCUAUGUUAGCUAGAAGAUUCAGAAAAUU
Molecule: long non-coding RNA, 443 nt
Filed under: Citrus x clementina
Lineage: Eukaryota; Viridiplantae; Streptophyta; Magnoliopsida; Sapindales; Rutaceae
Description: Citrus clementina (C. clementina) long non-coding RNA (CCLE_LNC002577)
Source: RNAcentral